AAAAGAACGCGAGAAAAAAAAAAAAGAGAGAUAAAAAGGUAUAAGGAUAUUUUGAUUAGUUUGUUGAAAAUUCGGACCAAAUUUGCGAAAUUGAAAAAAGCGGUCCAGUUUUGCAAAAGCUCAAAACUUGUGGAUUUUUUAUGCAAAUUGGCCAAAAAUAUUUAAAGUUUUAAAGCAAAAAAAUUUCAUAAUAUAAAAGACACACAGUAAGAAAUUAGAAUUAGAAUUAGAAUUUUUAGAAUGGGUAAAUAAAAAAAAAAUUUGUAAUUAAAAAUAUAUGUGCGGAUAUCUUGGGUAACCCAAAAUGCUCACAUUUUAAUAGAUACUCAUCCGUUUUACUCAUAAUUUUUUGGGUUGGAAAAGUUAGUAUCUAUACUCGCAAAUUUGCAGAUAAUCGGCGGGCACCCGCUGGUUUGCAUCAAGAUUGCUAGGUCUAGCCGCGACGGUACUGAUAUUUCUGAUG
This 463-nucleotide long non-coding RNA is filed under the name Ananas comosus (pineapple). Its description in RNAcentral is "long non-coding RNA (ACOM_LNC017393)". The record is from RNAcentral. Lineage: Eukaryota; Viridiplantae; Streptophyta; Magnoliopsida; Poales; Bromeliaceae.